Molecule: long non-coding RNA, 4865 nt
Filed under: Gossypium barbadense (sea-island cotton)
Lineage: Eukaryota; Viridiplantae; Streptophyta; Magnoliopsida; Malvales; Malvaceae
Description: long non-coding RNA (GBAR_LNC022904)
Source: RNAcentral
AACUUCAACUGCUGCAAUCAUUGCUUUUCCACUACUUUUUCUUUUCUCUUUUCUAUGGAUCUCAAGAAGAAACACAAACUCGAAGAAAACAGCACCAGAAGCUGGUAUUAUUGGUCAUCUCCGCCUCUUAGGAGGAUCACAACCACCUCACAUAAGCUUGGCUAACAUGGCUGACAAAUAUGGAAGAAUCUUCAGUAUCAAGUUGGGUGUGCAUAGAGCUUUGGUGGUGAGCAAUUGGGAGAUUGCUAAAGAAUGUCUCACCAUAAAUGAUAAAGCAUUCGCCUCUCGUCCAAUGCUUGCAUGCUCGGAAAUUAUGGGUUACAACGGUGCCAUGAUUGGCUUUGCGCCAUAUGGACCUUAUUGGCGUCAAGUGCGUAAGAUUGUCAUUAUUGAGCUCCUCUCAAAUCACCGACUUGAAUUGCUUAAACCUCUGAGGGAAUCCGAGAUAAAGACAUCUCUGCAACAGUUAUACCAGCUGUGGAACAAGAAGAAAAGUACUAACUCCGAUAAAGUAUUGGUGGAGAUGAAGGGAUGGUUCAAAGAAGUUACUCUGAAUGUUAUUAUGAGGAUGAUUGUAGGGAAGCGACUUCCAAAUUCCAGUGAAGGAGGUGAAAACUUGAAAAGGAAGAAAUAUUUGGAUGACUUCUUUGAACUGAGUGGAAAGUUCCUAAUAUCAGAUGCGUUGCCGUUUUUAAGAUGGUUGGACAUAGGUGGAGACAUGAAGUGCAUGAAGAAGACAGCGAAAGAAUUGGACCAAGUUGUGCAGGGAUGGCUACGAGAGCACAAGCAGAAGAGAGCUGAAAAUAAGGCAAAUAGUGAGGAAGAUUUCAUGGGAGUGAUGCUGUCUAUUCUCAGUGAUGCGGAGGAACUCCAUGUUGAUACAAUCAAUAAAGCCAUCAGUCUCGUACGUGCAUCUCUCUUAACCAAACUGAUUGCCAUUAAUAUCAUACAGAAGUUGGAAAUGCUAUUAAUUCAUUGUUGAUUGCCAUUAAUAACAUACAGAAGUUGGAAAUGCUAUUAAUUCAUUGAUUGCCAUUAACAACGUCAGUUACUCUGACAUGGGCUUUGUCUUGUUACUCAAUAAUCGUGACACAUUAAGUAAGGUCCAACAAGAACUAGAUGUUAAGGUUGGUAAGGAUAGGUUGGUAGUGACGGAAUCAGACACCAAAAGCUUAGUGUACCUUCAAUCCAUUAUUAAGGAAACGCUACGCUUAUACCCUGCUCUUCCACUAUCCCUGAUCCAUGAAGCCAUUGAAGACUGCACAGUUAAUGGAUAUCAUGUUUCAGCUGGCACUUGGCUUAUUAUAAAUCUUCAUAAGAUUCAUCGUGAUCCACUUAUAUGGGCAAAUCCCUCUAAAUUUCAACCUGAAAGAUUUAUGACCACACAUAAAGAUGUUGAUGUGAGGGGACAAAAUUUUGAACUGAUUCCAUUUGGAAGUGGUAGAAGAAUGUGUCCCGGACUUUCAUUUGCACUUCAGAAUUUGUCACUUAUACUAGCUAAUGUGUUACAUUGGUUUGAGUUUGAGACCUCGUUCGAUGAAGCCGUUGAUAUGCGUGAAGCACCUGGCCUGACGAGUUCUAAAGCAACUCCAUUAGAAGUUCAUAUAACUCCUCGUAAUCCUACUUAUGUUUAGCAAUUAUUAUAAGAAUUAACUUUUUAGUAUUAUUACUAUUUAUAUCUUUUUUGUGGAUAUCAAAAUUGUUAGUAUAUUGCUUAUUUAUCGAACAAUUAUUAUAUACACGAUCAAAAAUAAAUAUUUGGGCUACUUGGUGCUGUUGGUGCAAUUGAUUUUACUGAUUUAAUAUUUUUAUUUUAUUUUUUAUUUUUGAAUAAAUAAUUUUAUUCAAAACAUGCAUCUCAGUAGUUGUGUUGAAAGAAUAUCAACGUACUAAAGCAUAUGAGAACGAUGGUCAAUUGGAACCUUACCCCUGUAUUGGUGGAUAUCAACGUACUACUAAAGAAUUAAGUUGGAGGUGUUUACUGGGCACUUCUAACAAAAUUUGAGAGAGUUCAUUUCAUAAACAUAUAGUUUUAACUAAAUGAUAAAUUUAGAGUUGUUAUGCCUCUACCACUUCUCAAUUUACUCCUCACGAAAGCUCCACUUAUUAUUCGAACAUAUCUUUCGGGAACACUUCUCUACUUAACAGUUAUAUUAGUUUAUGUGAGCCUCACUUAUUAAUUGUCACUAUUCAUCUUUACUACCGUAUUUCAUCUCAAGUGAUUAAAAGCACUAUCAAUCCCCAUUCUACCUACACAUAUGGUGAUAGACAAUAUGGCCCCUUUUCUUGACUUGUUAAUAGAGACGUGACACGUGUAUCUCAAAAUUGUAGCUAAGGGUUUAAAAUACCUCAAAAUUGACUAGAAAAUGGCGCUCUCUCUCUCUUCCCCCCUCUCCCUCCCUCUCUCUCUUAAUAUACAUCAUCUACAUAAAUAGAACAUAAAAUUCAACGGUUGACUUAUUAAGAUAUUAAUUGUAUAAAAAAAUUAUAAAAAGUAUAAUAUCACUAUAAUUUUUGAUAAAUUAUAAAUAGCACGAGUCAAACCAAAAUCUCACAUAAGACAUUAAACACCCUUAACCAUCAAACCAAUACAUAAAGUUUAAUAUCAUUAUAAUUUUAUACUAAUAUAAGUGUAUCAUUUCCCUAUAUUUAAUGAUGAUAAUAAUAGACAAGAAUAUUAAUUUCGUGGAAAACAAUAAGUGAACGAAUUUCCUUUUUCAUCUUCAUUUUUUAUUUGGAAAUAAAAAUGUGUUCCACGAAGAUUACCAGGCUGGUUUUGUUAAUGUAGAAAAUAACGUUCUGUUUGUUUUACGAAAAAUGUAUUCAAAGUUUGAUUCAUGGAAAAUAGUUUGAUCAAUGGAAAAUGACUUAUAAGUCAACUGAAAAUAAGUCAUUUUUCUUGUAAAAUGACUUAGCGUAAAUCAUUUUUUCGGAGAAGAACUCAUUUAUAGGUAAUUUUACUUUCAUAUAAAAAAUAACUUUUAGUCAAGCUUAAUAUUAUUAUAUUAAUAAUAAAUUUUAUUUUUAUUUUUAAAAAUAUUUAAAAUAAAUAAAAUAUUAAUAUAACAUAUUAUAAUUUUUAAUAUUAUUAAACAUACAUAUUUAAUUAUCUCUAUCUAAUCAUAUAAUAAAUUAUUAUUUAAUAAAUUAAUUUUAUUUUAAUAAUAAAUUUUGAAAAUAAUAAUUUUAAAUAAUUUCAUAUAUUAUUGAAAAAAUUCAAUAUUAAUAUUUUGAUAACAAAUAUUUAUUACAAUUAUAAAUAUAUUAAUAAUAAAUGUUUUGUAGUAUAAAGUUUAAAAUAUGUCAUAAGUCUAUGUACUCUUUACAAAUUCAGAAUUAUAAAGUUUAAAUAUUUAGCCCAUCUACUCUUCAGAUUUGAAAAUCAAGUCCAAUUGUUAACAUUGCUUAAUUUUUUUUGUUAAUUUUGUCGAUUUUAAAUUUUCAAACAAAAAAUAUUCACUUGAUAGUCAUUUAACUAAAAAAUGAGGUUAUAAUUAACCUGAAUUUAAUAGAAUAUUUUUAGUAGUAGUAACUGUUGAGCCUGAAUUUAAUAUCUAAAAAGUAAAACUAAAUUUUCAAAAAUAAAAGUAAAUGGGCUAAAUAAUAUAAUUUUAUAAUAUGAUUCCACAAAUCUAUUAUUUAUGUUAUUUUAGAUAUUUAGUUAGCGAGAGAUGGUAGUGGAUCGUCAAGGAAAAGUGGUUUGCAAUAUUUGUCUUUGGGUUAAUUUAAUUAAUUGUCCCUAGAGUAUUAAUUAGACUUCAAAUUAGUUCCUAAAUUUUAAAAUAUUUUAUUUAAAUUCUUAAAAUAUUGGUAUCGAACAAAUCAUAUCAUUACCUCAACUUAACCGCUAAUUUAGAUGUUGAAUAAUAGUUUGAAUUUGACAUAGAGCAUAUUCAAAUUACGAGCAACAAAUUAUAAACACAUGUAAACUUAUCACAUAAACAUGUUGGAUAUGAAAAAUAAACGGUAUAAAAGAAUUUAGAAGUGUAAUUUUUUUAAGUUGUUAUUGUUUGUAUUCUAGCUUAAUAAUUGAGUAAUAUUAUAUAUUUAAUUUGAUGUAUUUAUUUAUAAAUAAAUUAUUGUAAUAUAUGAAAAAAAACAUAAAAUAUAUAUUUAUAGAUAUAAAAUAAAUUCAAUUAAAUAAUGAAAAUAUAAAAGAAUCUUAAAUGUAUUAAUUGAAAACAAUUUUUAUGAAAUAUUUUCAGGAAAAUUACUAAAUAAUCGAAAAUAUUUAUACUGAUUUAUUUGAACACCAUAAAAAAUUAAAUUUUUUAUAAAAAUAAAUCAUUUUUCAAAAAUCUUUUUUUUUUGGAAAUCAUUUUCAAGAAAAUAAAUGGAGCCCAAGAUUGGAAUUAGUAUAACCUGUCGUCUUUCUUCACAUCGCAGUACUUCGUUGAUUUUCUUAUAUGGCUUAAAAAUUCCAAUAUCAGUAACGUAUGUUAGUGAAAGAUCAAUAUACGAUAAUUACGUCAACAACACAACAAUGCAUAUAUAUGCAUUGUCUGUAUCUUAGAUUGAAAGUAGAAAUUUGGCGAUGGAUUAUUCCCAUUCACUCACAGCAACUUCAGCUGUUGCAAUCAUUGCUUUUCCACUACUAUUUCUUUUCUCUUUUCUAUGGAUCUCAAGAAGAAACACAAACUCGAAGAAAACAGCACCAGAAGCUGGUGGAGCAUGGCCUAUUAUUGGUCAUCUCCGCCUCUUAGGAGGAUCACAACCACCUCACAUAAGCUUGGCUAACAUGGCUGACAAAUAUGGAGGAAUCUUCAGUAUCAAGUUGGGUGUGCAUAGAGCUUUGGUGGUGAGCGAUUGGGAGAUUGCAAAAGAAUGUCUCACCGUAAAUGAUAAAGAGUUUGCCUCUCGUCCAA